UAGUGGCAACAAGCACUUGCAACAAGCACUUGCUGGAGCCCCUCGGUGCCAGGACUUGUGCCAAGUGCAGAUAGAGAAGCAAAGGAGUAGAGACAAGGCCCCAGGCCUGAAGGCUCUCACAAAACAGGGGAGGUGGGCUGUGCCGGGAAAGGGCUAGAGUUAGAGUCGAUCGGACAGCAAUGAAGCGCGAUGCAAAACAAAAAGGGGAGAGCUGUGGCUUCUACUUUGAAGGCUUCAGUGAAGAGGCACAGUGACUGCUGUGGCCCUCCCUGGGACUGACCUCCUAGCGCUGAAGAUUCUAGCACCUAGCACUGAAAAUCUCACAUCCCAGGGAACCCCUUGGUCCCAGGAAUUCUUUCCUAAUAUUUUCAGGGCAUGGCAUGAGGAGUUUGGAGCUCAGGUAAGAGGAAUCUCCAGGUGAACAUAUUCAGAACAGCACUCAAUUCUCCCUUGUGCCUCCUAAGUGAACUCUACCCAGCUUUCCCCCAUCUCAGAAACGGUACCACCAUUUACACAGAAACUUGGGAAUCGUCCUGAGUUUUAAUCCCCACAUAGACACAAACAAUUCAUCAAAUAAGUCACAUAAAUUCUACCUCCAAAAAGAAUCUUGAAUCUAUCCACCUGUCU
RNAcentral lists this long non-coding RNA (627 nucleotides) under Felis catus (domestic cat). RNAcentral describes it as "lncRNA (ENSFCAG00000050040.1)". The record is from RNAcentral. Lineage: Eukaryota; Metazoa; Chordata; Mammalia; Carnivora; Felidae.